AAAGGGCAGUAGUAAACCUAAGGAGAAGAAGAUUCACCCACUUCUCAGCCUCUUUGAUUUUCGGCGGAAGAAGACGACAACAGCUAGGCCUGAAUUUGCUAGGUAUCUUGAGUAUGUGAAGGAAGGAGGCAUGUGGGAUACCAAUUCCAAUAAACCUGUCAUCUAUUACAAAUGAUUACUCAUCUCAGGUUUCAAACUCAAGUAAAAAUCAUGUAAGAAUAUGAAUACUAGAAAAUGGUGACUAUAUGCAACAAAAACAAAAACCUGAUGAAUUAUGCAUGCAGUGAGCCGCAAUCCCUGACCGCCCUCAUGACGUUAUCAAGUGAGAACAAGGCUAUUUGACCCUUAAUUAUCAAGUUUAUUUUGAACGUUGAUUUCAUCAUAAAUUUUAUGC
Molecule: small RNA, 394 nt
Filed under: Vigna angularis var. angularis
Lineage: Eukaryota; Viridiplantae; Streptophyta; Magnoliopsida; Fabales; Fabaceae
Description: Non-protein coding transcript
Source: RNAcentral